UACGAAGGGGGCUAGCGUUGCUCGGAAUCACUGGGCGUAAAGGGUGCGUAGGCGGGUCUUUAAGUCAGGGGUGAAAUCCUGGAGCUCAACUCCAGAACUGCCUUUGAUACUGAGGAUCUUGAGUUCGGGAGAGGUGAGUGGAACUGCGAGUGUAGAGGUGAAAUUCGUAGAUAUUCGCAAGAACACCAGUGGCGAAGGCGGCUCACUGGACCAUAACUGACGCUGAGGCACGAAAGCUAGGGGAGCAAACAGG
This 253-nucleotide ribosomal RNA is filed under the name uncultured bacterium. Its description in RNAcentral is "partial 16S ribosomal RNA". It matches the Rfam family "Bacterial small subunit ribosomal RNA", at positions 524 to 776 of the family's 1533-position model. The record is from RNAcentral.